CCAUCUAUUUAUUUUAUUUAUUAAAAUGAUGUUUAUAAUUAUAAGAUAAGGGGUACCAACAACUCCCCCACACUUGGUCCAUUGCUUGUCCUCAAGUGAAGGCACUAAAGACCAAAUGGGUUCAUCUUCCUUGUCAAAAGAAUCUACAUACAGGUUAUUCCCAGCUUCACUUGGAUUUAUGAACUUCAAAGUGUCUACCAAGCUAUCUUGGGUAAUUGAAACGUGGAACAGCCUGGAUUCAAAUCCUCUUACAUAGUCUCUACGAAAAAACUUGGGGUUUUUGCAAGACUUUGAAAAAUAAAGAUAGCAUAUGUUUCUUGAAUGAUGCUCUCAAGUCCCUCCUAAUAUGUGAGUGGUUCCUUACCAAGGCAUAAAGAGUUGAUACCUUCUUUUUGAUCAUCCUACUUCUAAAAGGCUUAUCUAGAGUUUUGGGUAGGUAUGAUGGUGGAAGUUACUUACCCUACAUAUGUUGUCGAGUCAAACCCAGGACCAUAUCGGAGGGAGUGCGCCACACCCUUAGAUCAGAAUGUGCAAGUGUGUGGAAUUUUUGGUGUAAUCCUAUCACUACUUUUAUUGCAACAUUCCUUGCAUCAAGACCCUCUUUUGAAAUGAGAUGAAAAACUUGAGAGGAUAUGGGCUAUAACACAAAUUUUAUUUUAUUAUUUUUUUAUUAUUUUUUUGGACGGGUAUGAAUCUUUCCCCGUUUUGCCCCUUUGGAUUUUUCUCAUAAUAUUUUUUUCUUAUAUAUAUAUAUAUAGCCCAUUCCUAUGAUUCGGAUGAAAACGAAAGAGAGCUUUAUGAUAACAAAUGCAAGGAAUGUAUAUGAAUGCACAAUUCUCAGGGUGAGAUAUUGGCAUUUUUAUUUGGUAAAUAUAUGUGCGCAACCCUGAGUGUAAGAGUUGGCGAAAUUUUGGGUGGAUGGAGAAAGCAUGUUGUGCGCGACUUCUCAGUGUGAGAGUCGGCUUUUAUAUGGUGGGUGCAAGUGAAUUCUGAUCUUAGAGGCAUGAAACAUCUCUCGAUAGCGGUCCAAAAAUUUGACCAAACUCAACACAGAGCAAGCAGCAUAUGUAGAAGGUUUAAUCAUGAACAAAUAUUUGGCCAUGGUAGGAAUAAAGCUUGAUCAUUCAAUAAACUUGCUAUUGAAUUUUGCUUUUUAUAAAAGAAAACCCAGGUACUAUGCAAGAACCGGCAAGCAUCAUGUCAUCCUACUAUAUCACAUACGUCAAUUACUUAGAUAAAAUGGGGUCCCUAUAACAAGUGUUCAUAAAUCUCUAGGGAUAUUAGCUAAGAAUAAAAAGUAUGCAAAAACAUAUUUGAACAUAGGAGACAUGUUCGAUGGAGUACGAAGGUAACAUCAUUUUAAACAUUUCAUUUGAAAAUCUUUUUGGGGGAAGAGGGUUUGCACAAACCGAGAUUUUUGAUUGAAUAGUCUUUCCCCCACACAUGUUUUCUUUCCUGUCAUGGUUAGUCCCAAUAUAUAUAGAAAACAAGUGCACAAUAUAAACAAACUUUUUUUAUUGAUAACUUUGAAUAGGCACAUUACAUUGGAAGAGAAAAAAUAUUUGAAACAUAAAUAUUGUGAAAAGGAAAAAUGUGCCUAAACAAAGAUUCAUGCAUGAGGUGUGGUCUAAAGAUCUUCAACAAGACGACCAACACCUAAGGCUUCAGCGACCUUUCUAAGUUCAGUAUUAAACUUGAAGCAAAACCUAUUAACAUCAUCACUAAGGUUCCUAAUCUCAGUGUUCUUUUCCUCUAGGUCGUCUUCUAAACCCCGUAACUCAGCAUGUAGGCUAGUCUGCUUAGCUAAAAGCUCGGCUAUGAUAUUGGGAUCAUCUUCUUCAUCGCUGCUCUCGUACUGUCCUACACGACGCUUGAUUGACGGUUGUGGCAAGUGCCUCCUGAUCCUAGCAACAGUACUAGACGAUUCCGUGUUCUUGGCCUUGCCACCCAUCUUGCUACCAGCAUGAUUGCCUUGCCUAUCACCACUAGGGGCUUUUCUCUUAAGUCAUAUGUUGCUAGUAGAUGAACGGGCAGUAGCGGGUAUGUUGGCGGCGCUAUUGGUGGGCGCUUUGUGGUUUGCUGGUAACAAUACUAACGGCUUUCUCUUCUCAACAUGGACCUCCUUGCUAGAACUCUCUUAGUAAGGUGCUAUGUCUAGAUUGCCUAUGGUCUUGGGAGCAUUUGAUCAGCGAGAGGGCAUAGCUAGACAUGGUCACUACUGAAGAAUGGGAGAGCUUAGCAAUCUUCACAAGAAGGAGAUGAGAAAUGGUUGGUGUGAGAAGAGAAGAGGCCU
This 2293-nucleotide long non-coding RNA is filed under the name Sorghum bicolor (sorghum). RNAcentral describes it as "long non-coding RNA (SBIC_LNC014241)". The record is from RNAcentral. Lineage: Eukaryota; Viridiplantae; Streptophyta; Magnoliopsida; Poales; Poaceae.